Molecule: transfer RNA, 96 nt
Filed under: Afipia sp.
Lineage: Bacteria; Pseudomonadati; Pseudomonadota; Alphaproteobacteria; Hyphomicrobiales; Nitrobacteraceae
Also listed under: 1 other name
Description: tRNA-Sec
Rfam family: Selenocysteine transfer RNA
Source: RNAcentral
GGAGGCGUUUAGGUUCCUGGUGGUCCUCCCGGUCUUCAAAACCGGUGAGACCGAGUACCUCGGUCUGGCAGGUUCGAUUCCUGUCCGCCUCCGCCA